CAGUCAGUGCUGGUGUGUGAUUGCAGCCAAAGACCGGGUGCAGUGCCAGAAAUGUGGUGCAUACAAGCACAUGCGUUGUUCAAAGUCUGUUUGUGGCAUCUGUAUCUUCUGUGAGAGGCCGUAAAGCCAAACUGCCCGCAAUGAUUCUUGACAGGCCUAAGAAGGCCAAAACUAAAGUAACAGUGUUUAGUGUUCUGAGUGAAGAGGAGGCUGGGGAGCUAGCCCUCGGGUUUGCCGGAAGAUUGGCCUGCGAUGUCACAACAGACAUGGUCUGUAAAGGCAUCGACCAUUCAAGUGCUGAUAUGACAAAACAGACUCUUCUCAAAAUCCAACACAAUCUUAAACAUGAGCUGACUGAUUCCUCAACCUUCAGUUUGCUGACACACACCUUUGGCCCCGCUGCACUGGAUUCUGUCAUUUCAUUCCUGUGUGAAAAACUUGAUCUUGUCUCUUAAAUAAUGAAACCUUUUGUGACUUUUGUUUGUUCUGUAAAUCAGAAUCUUGAAAAUUGUUCAUUGUUGUUCUAAGUUUGUGUUAACUAUUUGGCAAAAAUGAUUGGUUCCUAAUCCAAACAGCAUAAUGACUGUUCUAACACAUAUCUUAAAAAUGCUACAAAGAAAGAAAAUUAUCACAUAUGUUUCAAUAUGAAUGUAAUUGUGUCACACUCGGUUUGUAGUAGCUUUCCUGUUUUAUUUUGAGUUUUGGUAUGUUUACACUGUUAUUUUUAUUUCCCGUGUGUUCGUCUUCCCUUAUUAGUUUUACUGUAUUUAAUUAGUCUGAUUUAAUAACUUAUAAUUAUUUACUUUCCAGUGUGUAUAUAUGCUCCUCGUUUGGAUUAUUGUUUGUUUGAGUUCUGCCUGUCUUUUCUAUUAAAGAUUUGGACUUUUGGACUAUUA
Long non-coding RNA from Maylandia zebra (zebra mbuna), 896 nucleotides. RefSeq lists it as uncharacterized. NCBI's taxonomy places the organism in Eukaryota, Metazoa, Chordata, Actinopteri, Cichliformes, Cichlidae. The record is from RefSeq and is a predicted model, not a curated record.